Molecule: long non-coding RNA, 495 nt
Organism: Micropterus dolomieu (smallmouth bass)
Lineage: Eukaryota; Metazoa; Chordata; Actinopteri; Centrarchiformes; Centrarchidae
Exons: 2
Source: RefSeq, a predicted model, not a curated record
UUUUAACUUAAAUAUUAUAUAUUGUUUAAUUGUAAUAGAAAAUGCACAGACCGCAGAUGCAAUUUUUAUGUAGACUGAUUGACUCCCUAUAGUCACUUGCAUUUAAAGAGCCAUUUUGCCACAGAACAACUUCUCUCUGAGGAACACAACUGGUUCCUGGGAAGGAGGAGCUCCUGCUGCCUUAUUGGUUGUAGCCGAUGAUUUCAUGCUCACUUUGUGGUUGUCAACAACUUAAGGAGGGUCAGAAAAGAAUGUUGCUUUCUAGAGUAUUCAAGGCCUUGCACCAUUAACUAAGGUGCAAUGCGCUCUCUUUUGCUCUCACACACACACACAUGCAUUGGUUUGACUCAACAUUGUAAGUGCAAGUGAGAAAGCUUUCAGAUUGUUUUGUACAUGCUGACAAACCAAGGUCCUACCAUUUCUUCAUGUGAUGUAACGUCAAGGUUCUACAAAUUGAUUACAUAAUGUACUGAAAUAAAUGCAUUUCUCUCAUUA